AAAGAUGAAAAGAACUUUGAAAAGAGAGUUAAGCAGUACGUGAAAUUGUUGAAAGGGAAACGAUUGAAGUCAGUCGUGCUGGCGCGAAAUCAACCCUCUCGUCUUGAGAUCACAUGGCGUGGCGAGCCUCAAAACCGUCACGAAGCGUGAACUCUUGAUGAGGAGGUGCACUUUCGUGUCCGCUGGUUAACAUCAAUUUCGAACGUCAUAAAAAGGCUGGAGGGAUGUGGCUCCUUCGGGAGUGUUAUAACCUUUAGCGGAAUGUGGUGUUCGGGAUUGAGGAUUGCAACGAAUACCUUUAGGGCUGUUCCACCUGGCUUCUCAUUGGCACCCUGGUGACGACAGCUUGCUGACGUCGUUAGGGACCGCCUUUGAACAGGCUAGAGUGUGAGCAAAUUCGUUAAGGAUGUUAACGUAAUGGCUUUAAACGACCCGUCUU
RNAcentral lists this ribosomal RNA (439 nucleotides) under Glomus sp. S329. RNAcentral describes it as "LSU rRNA". It matches the Rfam family "Eukaryotic large subunit ribosomal RNA", at positions 360 to 655 of the family's 3401-position model. Lineage: Eukaryota; Fungi; Glomeromycota; Glomeromycetes; Glomerales; Glomeraceae. The record is from RNAcentral.